RNAcentral lists this transfer RNA (67 nucleotides) under Marmota monax (woodchuck). RNAcentral's name for it is "tRNA.Thr". It matches the Rfam family "tRNA", at positions 6 to 65 of the family's 71-position model. Rfam says of the family: Transfer RNA (tRNA) molecules are approximately 80 nucleotides in length. Their secondary structure includes four short double-helical elements and three loops (D, anti-codon, and T loops). Lineage: Eukaryota; Metazoa; Chordata; Mammalia; Rodentia; Sciuridae. The record is from RNAcentral.
GAAUAUAGCUCAAUUGAUAAAGUGCUUGCUUUGUAUGCAUAAGGCCCUGGGUUCAAUCCCCAGUACA